This is an RNA transcript of Cornus florida, 2947 nucleotides long. RefSeq lists it as uncharacterized. The transcript is spliced from 14 exons. NCBI's taxonomy places the organism in Eukaryota, Viridiplantae, Streptophyta, Magnoliopsida, Cornales, Cornaceae. The record is from RefSeq and is a predicted model, not a curated record.
UUCGUCUUCUGGGUCUCCCUCUCUCCUGUUCUGGGUAUCUCUUUCUCUCUCUUAUGGGAUAAUGAGGAGAGACUGGUUCAGAAUCAUGGUAUACAAGUCCUUGUAGUGGCAAUUUGAUUUGCAAACUGGGACGGCGAAUAGUGUAUUACUUUCAGUGGUUCCUUCAAUCGUUUCAGCGCAGUGGAAUAUGAUGAGAUCUUUCGAAUUGAAUCUCAACAGAUCAAGUUCUGUAAAUCCAUGAUAUCAUCAGAGGGUGAGCUCAGAUGGUCUACCUUUGAGCAAUGGUAAAAGAUCCGAUUCCAAUUCAAGUGAAGCAAAAGGUUGCCUAGAUUUAGAUCCCCAUCUAAGACCCCAGACCAGAAUUUGUCUCAUUUCGACGGUGGCAGCGUUGGUGGUGGCGGUGUUGGUGGUGGAGGUGGUGUUCCCCGUUCUCCAGCUCAGUCUGAUAACAACCAUCAACACCAAUAUGAGGCCAUCCCAGCAAGGACCAAUAGUCCCAGCUGCAAUGGAGGUGGUGGAGGUGAUGUGCUGUUGCAAUGGGGACACAGGAAGAGGUCAAGGUGCUCGAGGGCUGAUGUCCGUGUGGCGGCGGUGGUGGCAGCCACGGACGAGUCAUAGUCGUCAAUUCAGCUUCAACCAAGGCAACCCAUCAAAGUUCAAAGGAGAUUAAUGCAGUGAAACCCAAUUCCAGGUGUGGUGGCGGCGGCGGAUAAGCUCCCAACCACCACCACCAUCACCAUUGAUCGCCCAGCCAUGCCACCGCCACCACCGCCCCUUCCUUCUUCUGUUAAUUCAACUGCUUCACUAUCUAAUGGCAAGAAAAGCUCCGGCAUUUUUGCAAACCGGAGGAGUUUGGAAGAAAGAUGUGGUGUUGCAAAUGGGAGCCCAUCGAGCAACGACAGUGGCAGCAGCAGUCGCCGGGUUGUGUCUAGAUAUACGGUGGGAAAACGAUCUCCUACUCUUUCAGAGAAAUUCGAUAGAAAGGCCCCUCCUACCGGAGGAUCAUCCCGGGAUCAUAAGUUGAAUGGGGUUGCCUUCAAGCAAGCAGCAACAAUUUCAGCAGUAGCAGAUGAAAUGAAUUGUAUUGAUUCUGCUCUGUUGCAACCAGAGAAACAAGUUGUUUGUAAUGAUCAUAAUCGGAAUAAUACUGGUAAUGGGGGGAUGGUGACCGGAGGAGAGAAGGCGAAUGGUGAGGUGGUUGAGUGGCCUAGGAUUUACAUCCCUCUAACAAGGAAGGAGAAAGAAGAGGAUUUUUUGGCAAUGAAAGGCACAAAACUUCCUCAUAGACCUAAGAAAAGGGCUAAGACCAUUGAGAGAAUUCUCCAGUGUGUGUUUUUGGCAGUAUUGUUUUCCUGGGAUGUGGCUGUCUGACUUAACAAGAGGAAGAUAUGAAGUUAGGGAAAAGAAAUGUGCAAAGAAGGGGACAAAUUACGAGUUUGUGAAAACUGCGCAUGCAAACGUGGUGGGUAUUUCUCAUUUCAUCUUGUUCCUGGCUUUUGUGGCCAAGGAUAAGGAUGAUGCUGAUGGUCAGCCUGAAAUUUUUCGUGCUAAUGUGUUCGAGGGAAACCACUGACCAAUCUACGUGACCAAGACUAAUGAGUUAGGGUUAGGGUUUUUCUGUUGUGCAAUCGUAUGGCUUCUUCCGUCUCCCAUGUCACUUCUGAACCACCACAAAAGUCUUAUGGACAACCAGGAAAGGGGCUGAACAUCCGUGAUGUGUUGACUGAUGAACAGAUAGCCUUGUACCGUGAAGCGGUUCUCGUAAAAGGAGGGCUUUUUGCUCCAAAAUUUCACCCCCACAAGAAUUCAGAUUCAGUCAUUGGUUACUGUCGAUCAUCAAUUCAGCAGUACAAUAAAAUGAAUGUAUGCAAGGGGACAAAUUACGAGUUUGUGAGAACUUUUGGGGCAAACGUUUUGGGUGUUAAUUUCUUCUUGUGCCUUAACUUUGAGGCCAAGGAUAAGGAUGAUGCUGAUGGUCAGUCUAAUAUUUUUUGUGCUAAUGUGUUCGAGGGAAACCGACCAAUCCGCGUGGCUAAGACUCAUGAGGUUCAUAUGCUAAAGGAUAAUCUGGAUAUUUCAAAUGUAAACUCUUUUAAUUUGAGAGCUGCAACGUCUGCUGCUCUCCUUCUUUUGCCAUCCAAAUUCAACGAGGAAGAUCUCUAUGCCAAAAUAUGCAGCCUCUCAUAUAUGGUUGAUCUGUGUAUGCUUUUUGCAGAAGAUAAAAAUAAGGUUCAUAUACUAAAGGAUAAUCUGGAUAUUUCAAAUGUAAACUCUGUUAAUUUGAGAGCUGCAACAUCUGCUGCUCUCCUUCUUUUGCCAUCUAAAUUCAACAGCAUCUGCUGCUCUCCUUCUUUUGCCAUCUAAAUUCAAUGAGGAAGAUAUCUAUGCCAAAAUAUGUAGCCUCUCAUAUACGGGUGAUCUGCGUAUGCUUUUUAUUGAAGAUAAAAAUAAGGUGAAGAAGAUUGUGCAAGGGCCUUAUCUAGAAGAACACGCGACCAAUGACUUGUUGAGAUUUUCAUCAUCUGGUGCUCACCAAGUAAAUAUAUCUCAGGUCCAUUCAAAUCCUUGAGUUCUCAAUUCCCAGAGCAGCUUUAAUCUUGUAUCUUUCUUUUCUAUUGUUAUGAAAGGGUCCAAUAUUUCCUUAUUAAUUAUUCAAACAAUCAUUUUUAUUCGGGGGCUCUAGUCACGGCAGGAAUAUAUUUGUAAUUUCAGUGUUGAAACAUGAUACUCUCUACCUUCCUUUGAUCUACUAGGAUCAUAUAAAGGCAGUGUAGCUGGCAUGAAAUAUUCAUUAUUGUACUUUUGUCUGAUAUGUUUCAAUCUGUCCACACCAGGACUCUAGUUUAUCUGCAGUUUCCUCCCUUGUUUCUAUUCUUCCUGCGACGAUCAGAAGCCAAAUGAUGGUGAGACUAGGAGAAGAGAAAAAAGUUGAUAAAUCUGGUAUGAA